This 191-nucleotide ribosomal RNA is filed under the name uncultured bacterium. RNAcentral's name for it is "partial 16S ribosomal RNA". It matches the Rfam family "Bacterial small subunit ribosomal RNA", at positions 1310 to 1500 of the family's 1533-position model. The record is from RNAcentral.
CUACGCCUAUAUGAAGUCGGAAUUGCUAGUAAUCGCAGAUCAGCAUGCUGCGGUGAAUACGUUCCCGGGCCUUGUACACACCGCCCGUCACACCAUGAGAGUCGAUAACACCCGAAGCCUGUAGUCUAACCAUAAGGAGGACGCAGUCGAAGGUGGGAUUGAUAAUUAGGGUGAAGUCGUAACAAGGUAGC